CCUACGGGGCGCAGCAGUGAGGAAUAUUGGUCAAUGGGCGUAAGCCUGAACCAGCCAAGUCGCGUGAGGGAUGAAGGUCCUAUGGAUCGUAAACCUCUUUUAUAAGGGAAUAAAGUGCGGGACGUGUCCCGUUUUGUAUGUACCUUAUGAAUAAGGAUCGGCUAACUCCGUGCCAGCAGCCGCGGUAAUACGGAGGAGCCGAGCGUUAUCCGGAUUUAUUGGGUUUAAAGGGUGCGUAGGCGGCCUUUUAAGUCAGCGGUGAAAGUCUGUGGCUCAACCCGAGAAUUGCCGUUGAAACUGGGAGGCUUGAGUAUGUUAGGGGCAGGCGGAAUGCGUGGUGUAGCGGUGAAAUGCUUAGAUAUCGCGCAGAACCCCGAUUGCGAAGGCAGCCUGCCGGGCCAUGACUGACGCUGAGGCACGAAAGCGUGGGGAUCAAACAGGAUUAGAUACCCUUGUAGUC
This 460-nucleotide ribosomal RNA is filed under the name uncultured bacterium. RNAcentral describes it as "partial 16S ribosomal RNA". It matches the Rfam family "Bacterial small subunit ribosomal RNA", at positions 338 to 795 of the family's 1533-position model. The record is from RNAcentral.